Molecule: non-coding RNA, 343 nt
Organism: Plectropomus leopardus (leopard coralgrouper)
Lineage: Eukaryota; Metazoa; Chordata; Actinopteri; Perciformes; Serranidae
Source: RefSeq, a predicted model, not a curated record
CUCUGAACAGAUGUAUCCUGUAGGGCUGCACAGACCCAUCCCCUCUGAUAAAAUCCCUCAAAGAACAGAGAGCAACUACAGCUGCAGACCAAACUGCUGUCACUCAACGUCUCAUUAUCAACUGCAUGUCCACCUUGGCGGCAGAAGAGUGGGCACCGGCUCUGGAGACUGACGCCAAGGCAGUCCGGACUGCAAUGACCGGAAUCCAGCGAGCACAAAUCAGGACUGGACAGCCCCGACUCAGCAAACUUUCUGUUGCUGCCAUUGCACAGGGGCAGUGUGCAGAUGAUGAAGAUGAUGGUCAUGAAGACCAGCAGGAUGAGAUGCUCCACCUCCUCAGCCA